GAACGCCCCGCAAGGGGAGUGGCAGACGGGUGAGUAACGCGUGGGAACCUACCCUUCGGUACGGAAUAACUCGGGGAAACUCGUGCUAAUACCGUAUAUUCCGGUAACGGGAAAGAUUUAUCGCCGAAGGACGGGCCCGCGUCAGAUUAGCUAGUUGGUGGGGUAACGGCCUACCAAGGCUACGAUCUGUAGCUGGUCUGAGAGGAUGAUCAGCCACACUGGGACUGAGACACGGCCCAGACUCCUACGGGAGGCAGCAGUGGGGAAUAUUGGACAAUGGGCGCAAGCCUGAUCCAGCCAUGCCGCGUGAGUGAAGAAGGCCUUAGGGUUGUAAAGCUCUUUUGGCGGGGACGAUAAUGACGGUACCCGCAGAAUAAGCCCCGGCUAACUUCGUG
Molecule: ribosomal RNA, 395 nt
Filed under: uncultured bacterium
Lineage: Bacteria
Description: bacterial SSU rRNA
Rfam family: Bacterial small subunit ribosomal RNA
Source: RNAcentral